RNAcentral lists this ribosomal RNA (442 nucleotides) under uncultured bacterium. Its description in RNAcentral is "partial 16S ribosomal RNA". It matches the Rfam family "Bacterial small subunit ribosomal RNA", at positions 338 to 795 of the family's 1533-position model. The record is from RNAcentral.
CCUACGGGAGGCAGCAGUAGGGAAUCUUUCACAAUGGGCGAAAGCCUGAUGGAGCAACGCCGCGUGCAGGAUGAAGGCCUUCUGGUUGUAAACUUCUUUUAUAAGCGAGAAAUAUUUUGGUAACUUAUUAAUAACGAUCGGCUAAUAACGUUCCAGCAGCCGCGGUCAUACGUAGGAUCCGGGCAUUAUCCGGAGUGACUGGGUGUAAAGAGUUGCGUAGGUGGCAUAAUAAGUAGCUGGUGGAAUCUGGUGGCUCAACAAAUAAGACUAUUAGCUAAACUGUUAAGCUCGAGACCGUUAGAGGCAGGUGGAAUUUCUAGUGUAGGAGUGAAAUGCGUAGAUAUUAGAAAGAACACCAAUAGCGUAGGCAGGAUGCUGGGACGGGUCUGACACUGAGGCACGAAAGCGUAGGGAGCAAACGGGAUUAGAUACCCCUGUAGUC